Lactuca sativa (garden lettuce) is the source of this 367-nucleotide long non-coding RNA. RefSeq lists it as uncharacterized. The record is from RefSeq and is a predicted model, not a curated record. NCBI's taxonomy places the organism in Eukaryota, Viridiplantae, Streptophyta, Magnoliopsida, Asterales, Asteraceae.
UGUAGUUCCAAUCGUACCUUUCUGUUAUUGCAUCACGUUCACGCAUCAUAUGUUUGAAGUUAAUCACGAUUGAGCCUGCUACUCCCUGAUACUUUCGAUCGCACUUCUGAUCGCUGCUUCCCCGGUGUCACACACACUCAGGGCACGAUCAGAAGCAACAACGAUUGAUUGGAAGCUGUGAUUGUAGGCAGCUAUCGGAAGUAUCAGGCAGGAAGGCUCGAUUGUGACGGGGAGAAAACGUGAUAUGUUAGGCUUUAGCAAGCAGGGGCAAUAUUGUACAUUCAAAUUGUAUUUUAAUUAUAAUGAUUUAAUAUUAUGAAAAACAAUUAUAAAUCAAUAAAAAUUACCAAAAAAAUAGAUUUGGGUA